AUUCUUCUCCUUCUAAUAUUAUUCACUUUCCACACCAAAUUUUCUACUACUCAAUAUCAUUUGUGUAAAAAUACAAAUGGCCUCUUCUAUCGAAGCCGGAGGGUCGUGGACAAAUGUUCAAAGGGGUCAAAAUCUUGGUGACGAGGUAAAAAAUUUCUCAUUGCCGUUUUAUUCAAUUUAAUGUCAUUUUUUUUGUUAUUUUCUAUUUAAUUUUUUUAAUAGAUCAUGCAAGGCAAAACAAAUGGCUCCUCAAGUGAACAAUGCCCGCAGUCGGUUCUAGUGGUACGUUCCGUGUCGAAAAUAAUGGCAUUAUUACGUCAUCCGAAAGAAAAUACUCCCACAUGUCUUGAUCUGUGGAACCGUCCAUGUACUCAAUUGUGUCAGACUAUGAGGACCGGGAGUAUUUCAAUUGUAUGAUGAGUGAGAUGUGAAUUUUAU
This 438-nucleotide long non-coding RNA is filed under the name Prunus persica (peach). RNAcentral describes it as "long non-coding RNA (PPER_LNC002331)". The record is from RNAcentral. Lineage: Eukaryota; Viridiplantae; Streptophyta; Magnoliopsida; Rosales; Rosaceae.